RNAcentral lists this small nucleolar RNA (130 nucleotides) under Echinops telfairi (small Madagascar hedgehog). Lineage: Eukaryota; Metazoa; Chordata; Mammalia; Afrosoricida; Tenrecidae. The record is from RNAcentral.
UUCUACAUUUCAGUGUUAAGUGGCUAUUUAUUGAUAUAAAAAUAUUUCCAAUGUGCUGAACAAGUAGUUGGAGGUUAAUGAGCAGCUUAACGAAAUGUGUAGUAAUGGGGCCAGUGUCCUUCAUGCAAGU